GCCGGCGUGGCGGAAUUGGCAGACGCGCUGGACUCAAAAUCCAGUGGCCGCAAGGCCGUGUGGGUUCGAACCCCUCCGCCGGCA
This 84-nucleotide transfer RNA is filed under the name Candidatus Udaeobacter sp. It matches the Rfam family "tRNA". Rfam says of the family: Transfer RNA (tRNA) molecules are approximately 80 nucleotides in length. Their secondary structure includes four short double-helical elements and three loops (D, anti-codon, and T loops). Further hydrogen bonds mediate the characteristic L-shaped molecular structure. tRNAs have two regions of fundamental functional importance: the anti-codon, which is responsible for specific mRNA codon recognition, and the 3' end, to which the tRNAs corresponding amino acid is attached (by aminoacyl-tRNA synthetases). tRNAs cope with the degeneracy of the genetic code in two manners: having more than one tRNA (with a specific anti-codon) for a particular amino acid; and 'wobble' base-pairing, i.e. permitting non-standard base-pairing at the 3rd anti-codon position. Lineage: Bacteria; Pseudomonadati; Verrucomicrobiota; Spartobacteria; Chthoniobacterales; Chthoniobacteraceae. The record is from Rfam by way of RNAcentral.